Molecule: RNA transcript, 5979 nt
Organism: Monomorium pharaonis (pharaoh ant)
Lineage: Eukaryota; Metazoa; Arthropoda; Insecta; Hymenoptera; Formicidae
Gene name: protein bric-a-brac 2
Exons: 8
Source: RefSeq, a predicted model, not a curated record
UACGCAUGGCAUGUACAUAAAAAUAUAGGCGACAUAUAAAGUUAUAAACAGAAUUAUGACGCGAAUUACAGUUUAUCAGGCUAAGAUUCUCUGUCGAGUCCGACAUAUCGCGGCGAUGUAUUCAAAGGCACGGUUCAUAUCUAAUAAGAUAUUCCAACGGUCAUGCAUAUAUAAUUAUUCAUUCCGUACGGCAAGGCGUAACGUGCCGCGAUACAGAACGCCGAGGCGUUCCGUUCGAACUUGCCGCGCGCGAACGCGAGCCAAUAGGUGCGUACGUACGUCGGCGGGACGGCCAUGCUGCUCUCUCGUGCGUUCUCUCGAGGCUCCGGCGAUGUUUGUGCGUGCCUGGCACGACCGUGGUCCCACUGUCGCGCUCGCCCUCUCCGUCGUCGCGUGAGAGAAGGCUCGUGGACAUCGGCAGCGUACGGUGCACCACCGUACGACGAGCGUUUUCCGUCGACAAUACGAGCGUGACCGUCCGAUCCCCGCGCGUUGACAUGUCAAGUCAAAUAUGUCUAAAGUGGAACAGUUUUCUCAGCAAUAUCGCGACCAGUUUCGAGAGUCUGUGGGAGGAAGAGGGCCUGGUGGACGUGACUCUCGCGAGUGACGGACAGUGCCUCACGGCGCACAAGGUGAUACUCUCGGCCAGCAGUCCCUUCUUCAAGAAGGUCUUCCAGUCAAACCCAUGUCAACAUCCAGUCAUAAUACUCCAGGAUGUACAUUUUAGCGAAUUGGAGGCACUAUUAAUAUUUAUAUAUAAAGGAGAGGUAAAUAUCGAGCAGAAGAAUUUACCGGCGCUAUUAAAGGCAGCAGAGACGUUACAAAUUCGGGGCUUGUCUGGCGGGGACAUCUUUGCGAAGGAGUCCUACAAACGGCUGGCUGAGUUAGAACAGGCUGUGGCCGAAGAUGCGCCGGUGAGCAAGGAAGAGAUACCUAAAAAGAAACAGAAAGUUAACAAGCAACAGAACAAUUCUAUCUUGGAAAAAGCACUGACACCUAGACUAUCACAUUCGGAAAAUACCAACGAGUCUGCUGGUAGCGAUCAAAGUGGGAAGGAUGGAGAGUACAUGCUGCCUGAAACAUUACCUAAUCCAGUAUAUCAUCGUUUGGAGAUGAAAAUAGAACCAUUGGAAAUGGUGGUGGAUGAUCUGCCGAAACGAUCCCCAUUAGAUAAGGAUCCAGCAGAGAGGCUAGACACAGGGCAAACAGAUGGGAAUCAAGGAUCAUCAAAGCCGAUCGUAACAGUAAUAGCCGAAGCUCGCCACACUUCUCCAGACCCACAAACGCACAAAAGAGAUUCUCUUGCAGUUGAACGGAGUUCGUUGUGGAAUAUUUCGAAAAUCCUGGAGGAUCCGUCACCUGACAUAUCGAAUUAUUCCCGUGCCGAACAAACGUUAGUACAAUCGGAGUCCUCGAAUUUUUUGGGACACAAUCCUGGAGUUUCACAACCCAGUUUUCCCGCAUUCGUCGAGUCCUAUAGUACAGAUUUAUCAGAAGAGACUCUAAAAGGUGGACCGGCAUAUCCACCGUUUCCUUGCCCCUUUUGCGACAGAGCAUACACUAGUUGGGGUUUUCGCAGAAGGCACAUAAAAGCUGUUCAUACUAUUUCUCCAUCCCUUAAUUGCAAAUGGUGUUUACAAGUUCUUCCUACGCACGCGGCUUGGAGACGACAUGUGAUAUCAGCACAUAAUCUAUCAGCCAGUGACGCACACAAUGGUCUUUUAAUUUUGGAAGAAGCACAUAUGGUCCUGCAAAUAGCUCGUCCUACCAGACUGGAUACAUUGGUUAACAUUAUUAAACAAAGUUCCCAACAAAACUGUGGUCAUGAUAGCACUCAUUCAGAUAAAGAUUAGAUUCCACGCGCGAUAUUUUAGUCUGGAGUUGCGAAGGUUACGGUCGUCUUGUGGUCGACAAAUGCGCAGCCGCUAUUUUUGACGACAAGUUCGCGCGCUCGUCGUAUCUUCGAACUAUCGCGUCCCGGAUUUUUCGUGUGUACAAGUGACUCUUCCCUGUAAAAAAGGAAAGGGCACAUCGAAGGAGCAUUAAGAAAUCGUGGCAUCCGAUUCGAACUCUGCUUUUCCUGUGCUUCUUACGACAUUUGGAGCUUGUCGCAUCAAAAUGACAUGGGUUAAUGGCGGAAUAACGAUAGAAAACUAAUACUGAUGGAUGUGUACGUCGAUGAUAUAAAGAAAUACCUCUUUACAUCUUAAAAAAAAAAUCACGAUUGAUAUCUCCUUGUGAUCAAGUCAUGUGAGGAUCGAGGAUGACUCUUCGAACGCUCUUGGAAUAUUUUAAGAGACGUCAAGAUCAGAUCAGUCGAGUGUUUUAGCAGCCUCCCCCCUUCUUCAGCCCACAAAGCUUCGGCGGGCGUUGCCGAAGAAGGAUGGGGCGAAGAAAGGAUCAGAAAAAGAGGCGUCGUUGGCCACGAAUCUGAUUCGUAUCCCUGUCUGUUUAUCGAUCGUACGUUUUAAUCGAAUUAUACAAAGCUUGUGCAAUGAGAUUUAAUUGAAUUCUUUUUAAAUCAAACAAGUUAAGGCGCCGUCAUUAGAAUUUCUCUCACAAUGAAAAUUAUUUUUCUCAAUUCGUGAGAUGAGGGAGAUAAGAGAUAACUAUAAGACAAUCGCGUUAAAUUUAUCAUUUUUGUGUCAAUAAAUGUUUACACUUUUAAUAAAAUAAGAUAAACUACGGUAAAUUGCGAUUUUGCAAAUAGUCACGUAAAUGUAGGCGCCCGUUUUAAAAUAAUUAAACUAAUUCAUAAACUUAUCAUUUACUUUUCUUCAACAAUAAGUUACAAAAUGUUAUAUAAGAUGAACAUCUAGCCUAUUUAUCGCACAUAUAUUACGAUUCACGUAAAAGUAUUUUAAAUAUGUGACAGCAAAGUCACGCAAUAAAUAUUUUUCGUAUACGUUAAGAUAGUAAAGAAUCUGGGAUAGUAACCAAGCCAACCAAUAGCCAACCAAGAGUUAUUUCUUUUUAACAACUUAUUCUUAGAUGUUUUCCUAGCUUAUGCCUUAGCACAAUCCAUUUAAGAGUUAUUGUUUACAUUUCUUUUCUUUCGGUUCUUAAGGACACAGUUGAUAAGCUUCAGUUGAAAGCAUGCCGUGUCCAAUGAGAUUAUCAUUCGGUUUUAAAUACAAUCACGACAAAAACUUAGCAUUAAUUAAAAUAAAUAAGAAGAUAUUUCUUAUUCUUUCUUUUUUACUUUUUUUUCAGAAGUUUAAUUUGAACUUUUUAAAGGAUACGUAUAGUAAUAUUUCUAUGUAAUCUUCAUUUUUUGAUGCUUGUUCAUCCUCGAAGAUGCGAUUAAUUGGUUAAUUAAAUGAUAUAUUUCGCAUUGUGAAUCAAGCGUUACGCCUUGGAGUUCCUAUAAAAAAUUAAUCCGCUGUUUCCUUGACACGUAUCUACGGAUCUCCGCGAACCCGUGUAAAUCCCUAGCUGUGCACAGGUUGGGCAAGGAAAUCGAGUACGCGGGGCGAGAAAAGAGAGGAGUCACGUCGUUAGCCAAUUCAUUUAUUCCUGGUAGGUCGGCGCCCGUCUGGCAUAAUCCGUCGAUUUGUCGGCACGGCGUGUCCCGUGUAAUGUCGCUUCUUGCCGCUUGUAAUCGAGUCGGAGGAAAGGAGAGCGACUCGAGCGAGAGGACGGCGCGACACUGACUAUAUGUGAACGGUUGUAAGAAAAGCCACUCGAUCCGGGGAAUGUUCACAGUUCCGUCCUCCAUCUUCUCCUCCUCCUCCCCUUCCUCCUCCCUCUUCUCCUCCUGUUACUCCCGGCGCCCUCCAGGAUCUUCCUGACUCUGUCUCUCUGCCUUUGCACCUCUUCGUUCUGGGCUGGUCCCGGGCUUGUCGCCCUUUCUUUUCGCUUUGCACCGCGAUGCCGGUGCAAGUUUAUUGAUACGGCGGGGCGCUAAAUUAUUGAUGCUCGACUGCACGCCGCGAGACAACGAAGAAGGAAAGGAGGAGGAUGUAUCCUGUGAUUUCAGAAAAAAGUUUUCCACGUCACCGGUCUUCCCGCCGCUCCUUCUCGCUUACUUCUCGGCUCCUCCGUCUUCUUCUGCGUAUUAAACCAGCGAGGUAAACUCACGGUCUUUAAAAGGAAGGAAGAAUUGCGCGCGGGGGACAACGAAACGCAUGCUGUGAGAAAUUUUCGCGCGUUACGUACGAGGAACCAUCGCGAGGUGUGUGUUAAUAGGGAUGAGUUCCCAAUCUCUCUUUGAUCUUUUCUGACUCUGGCUCCUUUCUGAGAAAUUGAUGCUUGCGUUUCUCCGUUUGCGUUGCUUCAUGGAGAACCGAUUUGAAUAAUCGCUACUUCUUGAAAAGAGUUAUUAUUACUAUCAUUAGAUAAAUGCCGUUCUCGAUUCUCUGUAAGUCGUUUCCAGCGUCGCCAUUGCUAAAAGAGUAUUACCAUAGUGCUGAUUAUAUAUUUUUUUUUCAAGGAUGAUGGCAAUUGACGGCGGAGACCGUACUCCAUCCAUAUAGCAUUCCAGAAAUUGAAUCUAAUCGCACGGCUCGUGUUGAGUAACGCGAUUGAUUGGUAUAUAUCGGUUACACGCAAGGUAACGGCAAGGUGCAAUUGCCGCGGGGCAAUCGCCGAUCUGUUGCAACCUUCAUUUGCAUUUCCCACGUGAUCAAUUGACGCACAUGCAACGUAUAGGGAUCAAUAGGCCUCCCGACAUUCAUUUCUGCGUUUCUGCGAAAUCGUACAUUCUCCAAAAAGCCAGCUGUGGGAAAGUUGAUAUCUGUUCGGGGCCUGGUGGACCGUCGCCUGCCACAGCGGAAUGUUAGCACCGCGAAUCCCUGGGAAGAAACGGCAACGGUAGUAGAGUGGCAGAAGAAAAAAGAGGGUGGGAAGGGGAAGGGGUGAGGGACAGGGGACCGAAAACGAGCGUCGUCGGAUCCGACCGGACUCGGGACCAGUUGAAAAGGGUUCGGCACUCCUCCCGCUGGAAAGCACCGCUGGUGAACCGCUGACAAGUGGUUCGCUCGCUUCUCUCCGUGCAAGAACCGCGCACUUGCAGACUUACGUAGCAUCGUUCGAUCGUUUAUUCAUUUCCCCUUCUUUUCUUUGGCGACCAAUUAUUAUCAUCGUGGAAGAUACCUAGAGAGAGCUUUCGCUUAGUUUCAUAAUAGAUAUCUUAGAUAUGGAUGUGAAAUCGAGUUCGAGUGACGUGGCGAUUCUCCGAAGUAUCGCAUUGUGCGAAGUUAGCGCGAGUUAUUCCCUCUGUUUUAUUCUUCACAGAUCUCCUUUUACUAAAAUUCUUCCUGUAUUUAAUUUAAACUUUGUUUCUCGGUUUCGAUAUCGGCAAGUUGUCGCAAAGAAGCAAUCGCCGCGCACGUAUGGAUCGAGUCUUUUCGCAUUCGAACUACUCGCGGCGCAGAAAUGCGUAUCGAUCUCGAAGGCGGGGACGCCUUACGCGGUCCUUUCUUGCUUUGCGCCUUGUCCCUUUUAUAGACAUCAUGCGACCGAUGCUUUCGGCAGAUAAAGUGUCAACCUGUUCGUAGAUUCUGAACCUGAGGUGUCGCAGUUCUCGCGUUCUCGUCUCGAAAAAUCGUGGCGACUGUACGCUAUUUCCGUCAACGAGCUAAUUGAUACCGAGAAACCCAGUCGCUUGGUCUUCACUUCGUCGAAGCUCAUGUAACAUUUAAUCUCUCGGUGUAUUUUUUGGGUUCGUGUGAGCCGCGUGAGGCUUUGUCUCGAUCUUUCUUCGGUUUUUUCUCCUUUACCCCGUUCUUUCGUUUUAACAAUGUCGAUACCAGAAAUGCGAAAACGAUUUUUUAAAUUUUUUGCUUUGCUUUAAAAUAACAUCUGUUAUGAAAUAUCCGUCAAUUGAAAAUGAAUACUUUGUAUAUCGUUACAUAAAAGUUGUAUAGAUAAUUUUCUUUUUGUAUAACAAAUUUUAUUAUUUUUGUAGCAAAAUACGGCAACUUUACUUCAAUUGUGCGACUAUUGUUACGAGCAUUGUUUGAUAUUUGUAUCAGAAAA